GCAGGCUGUUCGUCCUUUUGGUGGUCGACGCUGUGGCGAGAGGUGUCCUUAAAUGGUAGCAUUUAUGAUGCCUUUAUCACCAUCCUGGCAGGGAUGGGCUGGAAGAUCUGUUUUAUAUGCCUGCAAGUUAACCAAAUCAACGUGCCUGGAGAGUCGGGGCUUAAUUCCCUCUCAUUCAGUGUCCUGAAAUGGCAGUAUAUAUCACUUGACUUUGCAGGAAUGGGCUGGUAGAUCUGCACUAUAUGCCUGCAACAUGCCUGGAGCAUUGGGAGAGUAGGGACCUGACUCCCUCACAUUCUUGAUCCAAUGUGGUUCUCGGCUUGAUUCUUACAGUGAACUCAUCUGCUGUGCCUGGAUUGAGAAUCGGCAGUCUGACCUCUGAAACUUGGACUUGCUGUUCUAAGUAACAAUGCCAGAGGAGCUCAGCAGACAGGCAGCAUCGAUGGAAAUGAAUAAAGUCAACAGUUGAGCCGAGACCCUUUAGAACUGUAAAGGAAGAAGUGAAGCAAGAGUAGUAUAAUGGUGAAGGCUGUUUCUAAAAUGUUAAAGGUGGACAUUUUUGUAUUCUUCCUUAAUAAAGUGUUAUUUAAUUGUC
Molecule: long non-coding RNA, 595 nt
Organism: Hypanus sabinus (Atlantic stingray)
Lineage: Eukaryota; Metazoa; Chordata; Chondrichthyes; Myliobatiformes; Dasyatidae
Exons: 5
Source: RefSeq, a predicted model, not a curated record